Molecule: ribosomal RNA, 492 nt
Filed under: uncultured bacterium
Lineage: Bacteria
Description: partial 16S ribosomal RNA
Rfam family: Bacterial small subunit ribosomal RNA
Source: RNAcentral
GACGAACGCUGGCGGCGUGCUUAACACAUGCAAGUCGAACGGAAAGGCCCCCACUUUUUUGGUGGGGGUGCUCGAGUGGCGAACGGGUGAGUAACACGUGGGUGAUCUGCCCUGUACUUCGGGAUAAGCUUGGGAAACUGGGUCUAAUACCGGAUAGGACCAUGGUUUAGUGUCUCAUGGUGGAAAAAUUAUUGUUUUGGUGCAGGAUGAGCUCGCGGCCUAUCAGCUUGUUGGUGGGGUAAUGGCCUACCAAGGCGUCGACGGGUAGCCGGCCUGAGAGGGUGGACGGCCACAUUGGGACUGAGAUACGGCCCAGACUCCUACGGGAGGCAGCAGUGGGGAAUAUUGCACAAUGGGCGCAAGCCUGAUGCAGCGACGCCGCGUGGGGGAUGACGGCCUUCGGGUUGUAAACUCCUAUCGUUAGGGACGAAGCCGCACCUUUUUUGGGUGUGGUGACGGUACCUUUGUUAAGAAGCACCGGCUAACUACGUG